Trichonephila inaurata madagascariensis is the source of this 71-nucleotide non-coding RNA. The record is from the annotation of a GenBank genome assembly. NCBI's taxonomy places the organism in Eukaryota, Metazoa, Arthropoda, Arachnida, Araneae, Nephilidae.
GGUUCCGUAGUGUAGUGGAUCACGUUCGCUUCACACGCGAAAGGCCCCCCGGGUUGAUCCCCACGGAACCA